CAGGGAGACAUUUAACUGAUUUUGAUGCCUGAGAUAUUUAUUCUUAGGUCAUAAUCCUGUCACCUUAGGUCGAUCGGUACCUCAGAUUAAUUGUUUUAGAUUUCUGAAAAGCAGAAGUUUAGUAAUUAAUUUCAGUUCCUAAACUUGUCUAGGUCACACCCAGCAAGGGUACUCCUGGGCCAUUAGCUCAGGUGGUUAGAGCGCACCCCUGAUAAGGGUGAGGUCCCUGGUUCAAGUCCAGGAUGGCCCAUUCGGUGUUGGGGGUAUAGCUCAGUUGGUAGAGCGCCUGCUUUGCAAGCAGGAUGUCAGCGGUUCGAGUCCGCUUACCUCCACUGAUUACCUCCUGACAACGAAGUCAAAGGAGAUUUUGUUGUUUGAUGUGGACUAGACUUUGUUUUCACUGAAUGACCCUAGCUUCCUAUCAUUCCUAAUUUAAUAAUUAAAAGGGUUGAUAGAAUGCUGGGCUCUCUUUGAUUUUAAAAAGAUCAAAGAAUAGUUCAGAAGAACCUUGACAACGGCAUAGGUGAGUCUGAAAUGAUUAAUAGCAUCUCAUGGAUGUAUUCCUUUAAAGUUAUAUAAAACUUUCUUUAAAUUAUAGAUGUUUUAUUGCUUUAUUUGGAAUGAGAUUCUUGAGCAAGAGUAAAAUCUCUAUACUAUUUUCUUUAAAUUGUGUAAACUAUUUAAAGUAUCAUAUUUGAUUUUUUAUUAUCCUUAAAUAGUUAUUUUCAAUAACUAUUAUUUUGGAAAAAUUUUAAUCAAAUAUAUAAAUUUUAUAGAGGAUAAU
Molecule: transfer RNA, 784 nt
Filed under: uncultured cyanobacterium
Lineage: Bacteria; Bacillati; Cyanobacteriota
Description: partial miscellaneous RNA
Rfam family: tRNA (bases 260-332)
Source: RNAcentral